AACGAACGCUGGCGGCAUGCCUAACACAUGCAAGUCGAACGAGCCCUUCGGGUCUAGUGGCGCACGGGUGCGUAACGCGUGGGAACCUGCCCUUAGGUUCGGAAUAACUCUCCGAAAGGGGUGCUAAUACCGGAUAAUGUCUUCGGACCAAAGAUUUAUCGCCUUUGGAGGGGCCCGCGUUGGAUUAGCUAGUUGGUAGGGUAAAAGCUUACUAAGGCGACGAUCCAUAGCUUGUCUGAGAGAAUGAUCAGCCACACCGGGACUGAGACACGGCCCAGACUCCUACGGGAGGCAGCAGUGGGGAAUAUUGGACAAUGGGCGAAAGCCUGAUGCAGCAAUGCCGCGUGAGUGAUGAAGGCCUUAGGGUUGUAAAGCUCUUUUACCCGGGAUGAUAAUGACAGUACCGGGAGAAUAAGCUCCGGCUAACUCCGUG
This 433-nucleotide ribosomal RNA is filed under the name uncultured bacterium. RNAcentral describes it as "partial 16S ribosomal RNA". It matches the Rfam family "Bacterial small subunit ribosomal RNA", at positions 29 to 507 of the family's 1533-position model. The record is from RNAcentral.